Molecule: unclassified non-coding RNA, 319 nt
Filed under: Hevea brasiliensis (rubber tree)
Lineage: Eukaryota; Viridiplantae; Streptophyta; Magnoliopsida; Malpighiales; Euphorbiaceae
Source: RNAcentral
GGAAACUGCUUUGUAUAUUGCUGUUUCAAAUAAUUAUGAGGAGAUUGUGAGUUAUUUGCUUGGGUUUUGUAAUUUGGAAACUGCUAUGAUUAGGUCUAAAGCUGAUUUCGAUGCUUUUCAUGUUGCUGCAAAAAGUGGACACUUGGGUAUUGUGAGGGAACUCUUGGCCAUGUGGCCUGGACUUUGUAAAGUAUGCAACUCCUCAAACACAAGCCCUCUUUAUUCAGCUGCCGUCAAGGGACAUUUGGAUGUGGUGAAUGCUAUUUUAGAUGCAGAUGUGAGCUCCAUACGAAUUGUUAGGAAGAAUGGAAAAACUGCC